This 541-nucleotide ribosomal RNA is filed under the name Nannochloropsis sp. RCC438. Its description in RNAcentral is "SSU rRNA". It matches the Rfam family "Eukaryotic small subunit ribosomal RNA", at positions 607 to 1148 of the family's 1831-position model. Lineage: Eukaryota; Eustigmatophyceae; Eustigmatales; Monodopsidaceae. The record is from RNAcentral.
AAGUUGUUGCAGUUAAAAAGCUCGUAGUUGGAUUUCUGGCAGGGACGGCUGGUCGGUUCCGAUAAGGGGCCGUACUGUUGUUUGUUCCUGUCAUCCUUGGGGAGAGCGAUUCUGGCAUUAAGUUGUUGGGGUCGGGAUCCCUAUCUUUUACUGUGAAAAAAUUAGAGUGUUCAAAGCAGGCUUAGGCCCUGAAUACAUUAGCAUGGAAUAAUAAGAUACGACCUUGGUGGUCUAUUUUGUUGGUUUGCACGCCAAGGUAAUGAUUAAUAGGGAUAGUUGGGGGUAUUCGUAUUCAAUUGUCAGAGGUGAAAUUCUUGGAUUUAUGGAAGACGAACUACUGCGAAAGCAUUUACCAAGGAUGUUUUCAUUAAUCAAGAACGAAAGUUAGGGGAUCGAAGAUGAUUAGAUACCAUCGUAGUCUUAACCAUAAACUAUGCCGACUAGGGAUCGGUGGGUGCAUUUUAAGGCCCCAUCGGCACCUUAUGAGAAAUCAAAGUCUUUGGGUUCCGGGGGGAGUAUGGUCGCAAGGCUGAAACUUAAA